AUUAAACGCUGGCGGCAUGCCUUACACAUGCAAGUCGAACGGCAGCACGGGGGCAACCCUGGUGGCGAGUGGCGAACGGGUGAGUAGAGCAUCGGAACGUGCCCUGGAAUGGGGGGAUAACGUAGCGAAAGUUACGCUAAUACCGCAUAUUCUGUGAGCAGGAAAGCAGGGGAUCGCAAGACCUUGCGCUAUGAGAUGAGCUUGCGUCCGAUUAGCUAGUUGGUGGGGUAAAGGCCUACCAAGGCGACGAUCGGUAACUGGUCUGAGAGGAUGAUCAGUCACACUGG
This 287-nucleotide ribosomal RNA is filed under the name uncultured bacterium. Its description in RNAcentral is "partial 16S ribosomal RNA". It matches the Rfam family "Bacterial small subunit ribosomal RNA", at positions 30 to 316 of the family's 1533-position model. The record is from RNAcentral.